UGUUUGAUACCAUGGGAUGCAGAUGCUUGGAUUCCAGCAAAUGGCACAAAAUUGCAGGCCAAAAGUGUGCUCAAAAUGCCUUGUUUCUCCACAGAGCAGCUCGUGUGACAGGAUGUGCAUGCACGACGUUGUUAGGUGUGCAAGCGUGCAUGUAUUCAUGGCAACACAAUAUAAAUGCAGCACAUGCUCCGCUCGGUGUGGUGUCUGCAAGGACAUGUGGGAACGAUUAUAGUUUCAGUGCAAGGAUCAGGGCUCCUUAUGGGCUUUUGCCUUGCCUGUACAUGAGUUUGAAUAUAUGUAGGAUGUAUUAUGGGGGGUAGUACCACAAUCCAUGUGUUUUGUAAACACGGCAGAGACAGAUGAGCCCAGGGCAUGGAUGGGAAAACGCUGUUCCAGACCCAGAUGAAAGGCAGAGCCAAAUUAAGGCAGACGGUGAGAACCUGCCAAGCACCAGUCUCUGUCCUCUUGCUUUAAAAAGGUUUGGGGUUCCCUUUGCUGCCGGUUUGCCAUGCCCCAGAGAGCAGAAGCCUUGGUGCUUUCUGGCCUGGUGGACACGAGCUGGAGUAGAAAUGUGGAUGCAGCUGGCCACUGGGUAUAGAUGGGAAGCCCACAGCUGGAUUGCCAGCCGUGGGGCAAAAAUGGUGGGUGCACGCUGUGAGCGAUGCUGCUCGGAGCCUAAACUUUGGAGGGGGUCUGAUCAGUGCUUGGCACAAAGGAGAAAGAGGAGCAGCACUCCUCCUAUGACUCUGAGAGAGAAGAGCAUCACAAGGAGGCAUGGCAGCAUGGGUUUUCAUCAGCCACUGGAAGAAUGCAAAGAAAUGCCAGAUUACUUUCAUUGCUAUCAAGGUUGCAUGGCUCUGUCCUCCUUGGAUGUGGGAAGCAAUCCUUCUGCUGGGGUUUAUGUCAGUGCCAGAGCUCCAGGAAGAGCUGUGAAAAGCUGGGAGGAGAUCCCAGGGCAAGGGCAGGCUCCCACAGACAAUGCACUAUUGAACAUCGUCACUGCCUGCAAAGGCACAGAAAACAGUGCAAAAUCCCCGUCAUAAACCUUUCAACGUGAGCACACACCCACGACUAUGAAUAGUCUCUUAUAAUACAAUUAGCACAGAGCAGCUUCUGGGCUGUGCUUGAUUGUGGCAAAGACAACGGGACUGAAAUAGGGUUUUCAAAAUGAACCCACGCUCGCCUAUUCAUUAAUGGGUUAAUGAACUUCGCAAUAGGAUGGGGAGUGGAAAGCUUCCUGCUGAAAAGGAAAGAAAACAAACCAAAAAAAAAAAAAAAAGAUCUGUAUGAAAUGAGUCGGGAACCAGCAGAGCUGGGAGGCCAGGGAGGAAAUGUUUUCCUCUUGCUCAGCCCUCCUGCCCCGGGAGAGCAGAAAGUGUUUCCAAACGUGGGUGCCACGGUCCUGGAGCUGUUCUGAUUAUGCCGAGCACUAUCAAUGCAUGCGGUCGAGCGUUAGGCCACGUCCCAGCAUUUUAAUUCCAGGGUGAAAAGGAAGAGGUGGAAACAACAGAUGGAUGGGUGGGAGCAGACGGGAAUUGUUGUACUCCAUGGUCAGAUUGGUACAGAUUUGUGUGUGUGCAUGGGGGCUGCCUUCCCCUAUAGUAGGGGGCAAGGCCCUCUUCCUUGGAUCUCUCCAGCAUGUCUCAAGAUCUCAGGGGGGGAUUGAAUAGCAGCCUUCAACUCCGUGCAGGGGGCUGCAAAGAGGUGGAGCUGGGCUGGUCUCAGUGGGGGCAGACGACAGAAGAAGCAAUGGGUUCAAGCUGCAGCAAGGGAAGUUGAGGUUGGAUAUUGUUUUUGUUUUGCUUUGUUUUUGUAAAAUUGCUAUAAUCUUUGACUGGUCAAAAAUAUGCAGUCAACUGACAAUAUUUGACUGGUCAAUUGACUGGCUCACUGACCCUAAUUUAAACAGCAUGAGUAGCAGCAGAACAUUGCCCAUCACGGCCCCUCUGCUUUACCUGCAGCAGGUCCGAUGUUAUAUCUUGGGGCUGAGUUAGGGUUGGCUGUGCAGUUUUCUUAGUAGUUUAGACAAUGGAUUUGUAUGGGAUGGCCCUGCCUCUGGCACGGGGAUGACUUCUGGAGGUGUCUUCCCACCCUACUUCUCUAUGAUGUCUAUGAGAAUUUCUAGCCAAAUCCAAGCCCUCCCUUGUCUUUUGUAUUUUAAUUGCUGUCUCUUUUUCCUCUGCUUUGUGUCCUUUCGCAGCAUCUGAUGAAGUGAGCAUGAAAGCUUGUGCUAUCUAUCUAUCUAUCUAUCUAUCUAUCUAUCUAUCUAUCUAUCUAUCUAUCUAUCUAUCUAUCUAUCUAUACAAACACCUGUGUAUAUGCUUAUACAAAUGCCAUUACGUUCAUAUUUGCAUUCAUACACACAUGCAUAUGCAUUUACAUUCAUAUUUGCAUAUGCAUAUACAUAUAUAGAUAUAUAUUUACCUAUGCAUACAUAUGCACACAUGCAUGCACACACACACACACACACACAUAUUUCAGGGGUGUGGGUUGUAGCUGUGUUGGUCAAAGGCCAUCGUCAGACAAGGUUCUUUGGGUAAAUUUGAUAUCUUCUAUUAGGCCGGUUGGUCAAAUAAAAGAUAUCAGAUUUACAUAUAUAUUUACAUAUAUGCUUACAUUUACAUUGAUCUAUACCUAUACCUAUACAUAGUUUAUAAGGUACACAUCUACCCUGCCUUCUGCCAGAUUUUGGACUAACACGGUGAACUGUGUCUCUGCUUCAGUGAAAAUGUCUCAGGAUGGUGCAGCUGUCUGAUGACGAGCAGGCAGCAGAGCACCCCACUGCUUAGCGCCUGCCGUGUACCUGUGACCGCAGGGCCCUGGUUUCCUUGUGUGCAUUUGUGCUCUGUACACAGGUAAGGUGGGAGGGUUCAUGUGGCUCGUUAGUAAAAAAAAGUCUUCUGUUUUUUUGGUGAGUUUUCCUGAGCAGCCGCCACUCAGGGCAUUGACAGCGGGGACCAGAGGGACUGGAUCUCCUUAGCACUGCUAGUGCAUUCCCUCGUGCCCUCCCGUGCAUGGUGAUGGUGGCGUCGUCCGUGCCACGUGCAAGGUCAGUGUGUCACCGUGUGCAGGGGAGAAGUAGCUUCCCAUCUCAGCGAGCUGCAGAAACAGCCUCUCCCUGCAGAUCCAGCACCAGGUAAACAACUCCUCCGCUAAUUGAGCAGGGAGGCACUCGGAGGAUGCCUGCUGCCUGGAGGAUUCGGGCGCUGAGCAGCCAUCCGCAAUGGCUGAGCGCAGCGUUUCUGGAGGAGGGGGAUCCUUGGAGGGCAACGGCGUCUCUGGGAGGAGUGCACCAAGCCCAGCAUGCUCUUGCGCAUCCUUGACUCGGUUUUCAAGCUGGGGAAGAUGCCCUGAGAGCACCUGCUCACAGUGUCCUCACCAACACACCUGGCCUUGGGUGUCCUGAAACCAUCUGUAGUGGCCAGGACCUUGUGGGUGACUCCUGGCAUGGGCCUGUCCCUGGAAACCAGCUUGGGACAGACAUCCUGCAUCCCUAAGCAGUCAGCCCGGUGGAGGAAACCUUUAUAACCUGGAGUGGGUCCAUCCUGGCUGCCAGAGGGAGGAUAUGGCAGCCUACUUCAUGACCCCACACCCUCCUCCAGUGGUGGGGUAAUAAUAUAACCAUUAAUAUAAUAUAAUAAUAUUAUCUGCACCCUGGGUAAUAACCUCCUGCUGCUACUGUUGGAAGGAGCUGCCCCCCUAGCACGAGUGAGAAAGGACUCUGCAUAAAUCCCAGCUGGUGUCUCUUGGGGAGGCUCCUUUCCAGGGAAAUGAGAUGCUGCCCAAGCACCUGGGAAUCUGUCGCUUGCUCACACCAGUCGUGGGAGUUCCCAGCAUCUUGGGCCAGAAGGGGCCGGCACCUAAUUGCCGUGAGACGGAGGGGAGGAAGCAGCUGCUGGCCUUCGGAUGCAGAAAUGUUUCCCGCAUGUGGGCUGCAGGGUUCCCUCGCCAGCCUCCAUUUGCACAGGGGAGCCAAAUUUUGCAGCAGGAGCAGAUACGAGCUGGCCACGCACUGCUUGUGCUCUGGCUACUAGGUGGCCUUGAGCGCUUCGGUCGAGACCGCUGGCGGCUUGUUCCCUGUUUGCCGCGAUCCUCACUUGACUAUGCAGCUGGGUUGCACAGCUCUCCUUUCUCACAUGCAUGGUGUCCUGGGCCUGUGUGCACGUGGCACAAGCUGCCCCCGGUCCUCUGUGAUGCUCUUGGCUUCACAUCUAGCCCUAUGGCAUCUUGAGGCUGCAGUGUUAAUGGCUGAGCCCUCUCAAAGGGAAUACAUCCCGGGGUGGGGGGGAUGGUUGGGUAAUGGACCCUCUUCUGCCUUGUCCCUGCUCUGCUUUGCUGGCAGAAUAUGUGGAUGCAGCUUGUCCGGCUCUGCCCAUGCAUGAUACCCCUGUGCAUGCACCAAGGAGAGCAGGCUUAUUCAGAGCUAGCAAUGCUCUUUCUUGCUGCCUGAAAUCCCUGUUGUCUUGUAGAGCUCCCAUUUUCCUGGCACUGACAAGCAAGUCCCCAGCUGCAGCUGGCAGAGCGUCCCAUGGAGCCAGUGCUUGGAGGGAGGGCGCGAGGGGCAUUCACACCCCCGGUGCCACCCCCCGCUUGGACCCUGCACUCCUUUGCAUUUCCUUCCCUGGUGCGCUCUGCUCAACUGCAAAAGAUGCCCGGUGGUUCCCCUUGCUUCCUUCUUGGGAGACGUCUCCACUGAAAACCCAUCAGCCGUCCCGGGGGGCCGUCUGCUGCAAAGGGGUUCAGCUUUUCUCUCUUCAAAAUGAAGAUUAAGCCUAAUCUCACUGAGCCCAGCUCUCUUCUACUCUUUAACAUUUGGAUGCUUAUCUUGCUGGGGUCCUUUGACCCCAGCUGACUUCCUUCCCCUGGGGCAGGGGGCUGGACUCGAUCUUCAAGGUCCCUUCCAGCCCGAAUGUCUCUGAAAUCUCUGAAAUCUUCUUACCUUUCACAUCUUUCCACCAGAGUAAGCUGUUUGUGGCCCCCAUUGUCUUCUUUUUAGCAAGUGCAUGUACAGCACCUAACACACUGAGGCUCCCCCUCCCCAUAACCCACAGGUACUAGCAAUGCAAAUGCAAAUCAAAUCACAAUGCUCCACAAUGCAAAUAAAAUCACCAGAAUGGGCUCAUUCCUGGCUUGCAGCGGAGUGAGCGAGGACGACCUUGGCUGUCUGAUAGCCAUAAAUCUCUUUGCUUAGGUGAGGGGUCUCAGGGUCAUAAAUCUCUUUGCUUCAUAGCCACUGUGUUGAAUGUCCUCACACCAAAAGUAUCUCUGAGGAGCUAGGCCUCCAGCCACCGUUUUGAAGCCACUCAAGAAGUCUGCAGUGGUCCAGGAGCGUGAGCUUGGGUCUCCUGGGUACCACAGCGCCCAAAGCAUCCUUGUCUUUUGGCCCUACAGAGACUGUCACUAAAUCAGACACGGUCAGAGAUCCCAGUCUUGAUGAGCAAUGGACAUAGGAUCUCCUAAUGGGAAGCAUCAGAAAAUCUUAACUAUAGGCAUCUCUAGCUUAUCUUAUAAUAACUCGCCUAUGAUGGGGCUUUGCCCCUCGAACAGCGCAGGGCCCUUGCUUUCAGAGCUCCCCGCCUGCUCCGUUGGUGGUGCAGGUUGGUGGGCACGUGUGCCGGGCUCACCUCGCCUCACCCCUCGCCCAGAGCCGUGCAUUUUUUAAUGCCCCGGGUCUGCUCUGCCAGCACGCUCUCGCGUCUCCUUCCCCGGGAGCCGCUGUGAAGCUGUGCUCUGCCGCUCUCCGGGAAGAAAAGUGGGUCACGGUGUCACGUAAGGCAGCUGAGCGGUAAUCCUGAGCCAGGCGAGUGGAGCAAUUCACUGCCAGAUUGGAGAUGAUAAAUGACCAGCUGUGUGGGAUAAACAGGGGAGGAAGAGAAUGUAUCAGGGAGCGCUGGAAAACAGUCGCCGUCUGCACAGAAAUGUCAGGUGAGAGCACUCACGCUGGCUCGAUCAAGCCAGCCCCGGGCAGCAAAGAGGGCUCCGGGUCUCUCUUUAUAAGUGCAAGACUUGGAAGACGUAGGUGGCAUAGGUGAAAGCUCCCCCCAAGCCCCUUUCCCAAAUUUCCUUCUUGUCCCCUUCGUUUUCCACCAUUAGAUGCAAGUAACCAAAGCAGAAAGCACCAGCGAUUCAUGGAAAAUCAGCUCUCGGCCUUCCAGCAUCUCGGGUUGUAAAUCGUGUUUUCUCUCUCUGAUCAUUCGGAGUCUCCUCAUUUAUUUGGCUGGGUUUUUUUAAUUGUUAAUUUUGUGCAAUGUAAGCAUCCCAAAAAAUGAGCUUUCCUUCCUGCCCCAGCAGUCUCUAGCUCUCCUGAAUCCUCGUGACAUCAAUCUCAAUGGGUCUCUUUUAAAGUCGGGCUCAAGCCUUGCAAUUAGUAUCUGAAGCAAGGUUUCGGAUACCCCCGGGGUUCAGGAAGGGUGAUGGGAUCUUCAGAUUUCAGUCAGAUGGUUAUAAAAUUAGCAGCCAGGACCGGAUUUGUAACUCCGAGAUGCCUGGGGAUUUCUUAUCCCCUAUUGGGGGGGGAAGCGUUGCAAACCUGAGGGCUGGAGCUUGAGUCAAACCACUGCAAGAAGCAUGCAGGCCAUUAUCACUGGUGGGUCUGUGCCAGUAAAGGCUGAUUUAUCCUGGAUCAACAGCCAGUCCUGGAGAGUAAGCAGACAGGGAGGUGAGUGUGCUCCCAUGCUUCACCAGGCUAAAGUCCCUUCUCCAGCAGCUUGAGGCGGUGCUGGAUGAUGCUGAAAGCCCCUCAAAUAGGAAGCUGGAGUGUGGUGCUCAAAUCCCCUAGGCACUGAAACUAGGGGCUCUUCAGACUGGAGGGCUAGAGCAUGCUGGAGGCCCCCUUCCUGCAAAGCUGAGGUCCACUCUGGACCCUGCCCAAGCUCAUGCUGUCUGAUAUUUGGAGGCCUCUUAGGAGCCCAAAGCUUGGGUCAAAGUUUGGUUUGUUCCCAGGAGCUGGAUGAGCAAUUAUUAACCUCCAUGCUGCAGGUCUGGGAGCAGCUCUGAGGGCAGCAGACGGGCAAUGCAGGGGAGCCACGGACCCAUCCGCACCGUGCGUGUCUGAGCUGCACAGGGAUGGGUCUUGCCAAACCCUAAGGCUCUGAUCCCCGUGGUCUGAGCACCCCUCUAGCCAGGGCUUCCUCCUGCCUUUGACUUGGCACCAGGGACUUCAAGGGGAGGCUUAUGCCAUAAGUCUGAAGUCUCAAGAAGAAGGGAAGAUGCCAGGUCAUGAGCACUGGCCAAAGAACCUCCUGCUGCUGCACUUGCAUCCAGGCCGUAUACCGUGUACCUUUCAGAGGAGCAUCCAGUCUCGAGAUGCAGAUCCCAGCACCUCAUUGCACAGGGUGUAGUGGACACCGGGCCAUGCCCAAGGUAGCACGGCAUCUGUUUACUAGCAUCUCAUCCAUCGCCAGCUCUCCCUGCCCUCACAAUGUCAUUGCCCGUCCCUGGUUUGUCGGAGGGAAGAGGGUACCAGCACCUGGUGCUCACCUACAGCACUGCCAACACUUGUGACUUGCCACAUCCAUUAAGCCUGAGCUCUAAAAACCAGCUAUGGAUACACAGGGGCAGACACACUUCCCAUCAAAGCAGAGGUUGGAGCCUCCUGAAACUGCCCCUGAGUGUGUUGAGAUUGUCCAAAGUAUUUUAACAGCCAUAAUACAUCCCUCAUCCUCCAGUCCCUGUGCUGGGAAGGGAAGCAUCGUGGUAUCAGAGUGACUCUUACCCUUCAAAAAGGGAGGGGAGGAGGGUGAAUAGAGCCCAGGUGCCUUUCAAAAGGAGCAGCUGGGAUGAUAGCCAAGCACCAACCUUGCCCAGAUUGGUAACCAAAAGGUCUCGAGGUCCUAAAGUCAGAUCAUCCCUCAUAAUUUAGAGACUGUAAAUCAUCUUAGGGCACUUGGCAGGAGUUACCCAGGAUAACUGUGUUGUUAGAAAAGGUCCUUCCUGUGUUUCUAGAAAAAAAAAGGAUUAUUAAACCCAAGAGGAUGUUUAUAAUCUGGUCAGUGGUACUUGUACUGUCUGGUUAUUUGCUCUUCCUGGGGAGACUAGGUUGAGUUUCAUCACCAGAGAGGACUGCAAUUCAAAAUCAGCUGUGAUCUUAUUUUUUGUUAACUUCCCCAACUCUAUUGGAAAUGGAAAUGAGAGGUUUCAACAUCGCUUUGACCCACCCUUUCACUGAUAUAGGAGUAUUCACCCACAGCCAAGUGCCCCACUUAUAGUGAACCAGUGCCCUGGAUCCAAAUUCAUCCAGACUGGGGAUGCAUUCAAAAGCUGGACCUGAUUGUCAUAGGUGUUACCCAAAACCAGGAGGUGCAGCUAGGUCCAGACAGGAGACCUGUGCAGGUGAGGCUUGCAUGCUUUGGGCAGGACGUGGGGUAUUGUGGAUCCUUGUGCUCGUGUCUGAUCACCUUCACAUCCCAAGGCAGGGAGUCCCACCUGCCCCCUCAGUCAAUGGCUAUAUGGCAGAGCUAAUGUCUGGGCUAGAGGAAGAAAUCCAGUCUUGAAGGGAUGGAGACUCACUUUUGGGUCCCUCCAACCCUAUGCCCAGGUACUAAGUUGCACAUGGGUAAGUACGAAUACCCAAUGCAUGUAUUGCACCUUCGCUCAAAGAUCCCAAACAGUACAAAGACCAGUGUUUGGGGUUUUUUAAUUAGCCCUGAAGUUUUAAGGCCAGAAAGGAUCAUCGUCAUUGUUGAGCCUGACCUCCUGACUCCACCCGGAGGGUAAGGUUGCUUUGGGAGGAUGGGGGCCUGUCAGCAUCAUCACAGGACAGGAAGCAUCUGGUGCACCGUGAUGUCGACGCUCAUCAGUGGAGACUGUGAACAGUGAGUAACGGUGACUCUAGCCUCCACAGUGCUCAGGCCAGGAAAGGUGAUGGGAUGCUUGGGCCUUGUCUAUCUUGCCUCCAUGCCAUGCACCCAGCAGCUCUGCUGUUGCACACCCAGCUCUCUUCCUCCUGCUCUUGCCAAAUCCUGGACAGGCAACUGAACACGCACCACCAACGACCCCCGAGGGGGAAGCCGUGAGUACACUCUUGGCAGUGAUGCUGCCUUGUGUCUUGGGAUUUUGCAAGGGUGAGGUGGAAGGACAUCUUCCCGGGGCACUUUCCCCUCGGCGGAGGUGGUAAGGACAUAAGAAGUGCCCGACUGGGUCAGAUGUAUCUCCAGCAGGGGCAGGGGUGGCUGCCUUAGAGGGAGAGCAUUGAACCAGAUAUCUCUGGAGUGCCAUUACCCUCCCUGGCAUCCACUAUUAUCGGUCUAGAGAUGCCAGAGGAAACAUCUCCAACCGGUCUGUGCUGCCAGCAGGCCAUUGCUGCCUGCAGGGGGUCAGGGUUUUGAUUUUUCCUCACUUCUGGAAGCCGUCGAGCCCUGUUCACCCUCCUCUUCAGCAUCCUCACCCUGCCACUAGACAUGAGCUAAAGGAUAUGACUCUGUAUACGGCAGCUCUUAUGGCCCUAGUGCAAACUUGAGGUACCAAUAGCUCCCUUCCCUCUGCCAAGUGGGUUCUGCUUCCCCAGCAAGCUAGAAAAAGAGCUGAAAUUAUGAAUGGCCUACAAUUUUUCAGGUUCCCUCUCUCCGUACGUCGCAUCUGAGCUAAAUACCAGCCCCGUGGCAAGGCUGCUGAAUGACAUGUUUGCACUUAGGCAGUGAUUCAUGAACUGACCCCCAGAGGAAACCAUCAGGAACACGCUCCGUCACGCUCCCUCCGGAGGAAAGCUCGUGUUUCUUUUCCUCUUCCCAUGGCACUGCAAGACCUUGAGGUGCCAAGCUUCGAAAAUCAGGCAACAUAUUUAAGCAGUUUAUUUACGCCCUUGAGGAUUCUGGCUUGGAAAAUAACUAUGAGAGUCUGUAAUGAGAGAGGGACUGAAGGCAAGUGCUGCCAUCACACCUGACUUCUCACCUCGCUCCUGGAUGCCCACCUUCAGGAGAUGGUAUUGCCAGGCAUUGUGGCAGCUGGACCCUGCUGCCCUAUAAGUCCUGUUUCAUUAAAUGCUUGUGGAUUGAAUGGAAAUGAAAUUAAAAUGGUGUCUUCUCUUGCA
This is a long non-coding RNA of Alligator mississippiensis (American alligator), 10027 nucleotides long. RefSeq lists it as uncharacterized. The record is from RefSeq and is a predicted model, not a curated record. The transcript has 2 exons. Lineage: Eukaryota; Metazoa; Chordata; Crocodylia; Alligatoridae.